RNAcentral lists this ribosomal RNA (802 nucleotides) under uncultured Glomus. RNAcentral's name for it is "SSU rRNA". It matches the Rfam family "Eukaryotic small subunit ribosomal RNA", at positions 314 to 1114 of the family's 1831-position model. Lineage: Eukaryota; Fungi; Glomeromycota; Glomeromycetes; Glomerales; Glomeraceae. The record is from RNAcentral.
AUCAACUUUCGAUGGUAGGAUAGAGGCCUACCACGGUGGUAACGGGUAACGGGGUGUUAGGGCACGACACCGGAGAGGGAGCCUGAGAAACGGCUACCACAUCCAAGGAAGGCAGCAGGCGCGCAAAUUACCCAAUCCCGACACGGGGAGGUAGUGACAAUAAAUAACAAUACAGGGUUCUUUAGGAUCUUGUAAUUGGAAUGAGUACAAUUUAAAUCUCUUAACGAGGAACAAUUGGAGGGCAAGUCUGGUGCCAGCAGCCGCGGUAAUUCCAGCUCCAAUAGCGUAUAUUAAAGUUGUUGCAGUUAAAAAGCUCGUAGUUGAACCUCGGGAUCAAUGGAUCGGUCAUGCCAUCGGUAUGUACUGGUCUCAUUGGUUCUCACCUUCUAAGGAACCAUGAUGUCAUUCAUUUGAUGUUGUGGGGAAUUAGGACUGUUACCUUGAAAAAAUUAGAGUGUUUAAAGCAGGCAUUUUUGCUCGAAUACAUUAGCAUGGAAUAAUAGAAUAGGACGGCAUGGUUCUAUUUUGUUGGUUUCUAGGAUCACCGUAAUGAUUAAUAGGGAUAGUUGGGGGCAUUAGUAUUCAAUUGUCAGAGGUGAAAUUCUUGGAUUUAUUGAAGACUAACUACUGCGAAGGCAUUUGCCAAGGAUGUUUUCAUUAAUCAAGAACGAAAGUUAGGGGAUCGAAGACGAUCAGAUACCGUCGUAGUCUUAACCAUAAACUAUGCCGACUAGGAAUCAGACGAUGUUAAUUUUUUAAUGACUCGUUUGGCACCUUACGGGAAACCAAAGUGUUUGGGUUC